CAACCGGUCUUUCUCUUAACAUAACAUAUCAUAACAUUCCAAUGUGCCAGGGACGUAGAAUGGGUACAACCUGGACUUUCUCUUACUUAGUGCCAGGGUCGUAGAAUGGGUACAACCUGGACUUCCAUACCAUACCAUGCCGUAGCAUCAUCAUAUCAUAUGAGGACUAAAGGGUCAUCCAAUAACCAAUCCACAUCAACAUCAUAAAUGCAAUGCAACAUAUUCGUGGAUUCUAAUGCAAACAACCUAUUUCAUCACAUGGCAUUCAUGAUGCAUGAACAUGCUCAACUGUAUAAUUCAUUUGCUUUAAAAAC
This 314-nucleotide long non-coding RNA is filed under the name Manihot esculenta (cassava). RNAcentral describes it as "long non-coding RNA (MESC_LNC011723)". Lineage: Eukaryota; Viridiplantae; Streptophyta; Magnoliopsida; Malpighiales; Euphorbiaceae. The record is from RNAcentral.